Molecule: ribosomal RNA, 498 nt
Filed under: uncultured bacterium
Lineage: Bacteria
Description: partial 16S ribosomal RNA
Rfam family: Bacterial small subunit ribosomal RNA
Source: RNAcentral
AUUGAACGCUGGCGGCAUGCCUUACACAUGCAAGUCGAACGGUAACAGGUCUUCGGAUGCUGACGAGUGGCGAACGGGUGAGUAAUACAUCGGAACGUGCCUAGUAGUGGGGGAUAACUACUCGAAAGAGUGGCUAAUACCGCAUGAGAUCUACGGGUGAAAGCAGGGGAUCGCAAGACCUUGUGCUACUAGAGCGGCCGAUGGCAGAUUAGGUAGUUGGUGGGAUAAAAGCUUACCAAGCCGACGAUCUGUAGCUGGUCUGAGAGGACGAUCAGCCACACUGGGACUGAGACACGGCCCAGACUCCUACGGGAGGCAGCAGUGGGGAAUUUUGGACAAUGGGCGCAAGCCUGAUCCAGCAAUGCCGCGUGCAGGAUGAAGGCCUUCGGGUUGUAAACUGCUUCUGUACGGAACGAAAAGCCCCGGGUUAAUACCCUGGGGUCAUGACGGUACCGUAAGAAUAAGCACCGGCUAACUACGUGCCAGCCGCCGCUGUAA